Molecule: long non-coding RNA, 287 nt
Organism: Asparagus officinalis (garden asparagus)
Lineage: Eukaryota; Viridiplantae; Streptophyta; Magnoliopsida; Asparagales; Asparagaceae
Exons: 3
Source: RefSeq, a predicted model, not a curated record
GUAUACAUAGCCCUAGCGCUCCUCUGCCUUUUCUCAAAUCCAUUGAGGUGUUUAUCUGUUAACAGAAGUGUUGGUCAUUGGAGAAUUCAGCAUUCCUGGCUAUUAUGAGGCAUUCUGGAAGGAGUUGGAUGGUGUCAAGCAAAUCUGGAAGAACAGAAAGGAACUCAAAUAGAUUAAUAAUCAUGUAUCGAUGAAUUACAUUCUUUCCUAGAAGUGUCAUAGCCAUUGUAAAUAAUUUAUGUAAACGUUUGUAAAUAAUUUAUGUAUCUCUCUACUAUUUUGGUGAA